This 253-nucleotide ribosomal RNA is filed under the name uncultured bacterium. RNAcentral's name for it is "partial 16S ribosomal RNA". It matches the Rfam family "Bacterial small subunit ribosomal RNA", at positions 524 to 776 of the family's 1533-position model. The record is from RNAcentral.
UACGUAGGGUGCGAGCGUUAAUCGGAAUUACUGGGCGUAAAGCGUGCGCAGGCGGUUUGAUAAGCCAGAUGUGAAAUCCCCGAGCUCAACUUGGGAACUGCGUUUGGAACUGUCAGACUAGAGUGCGUCAGAGGGGGGUGGAAUUCCGCGUGUAGCAGUGAAAUGCGUAGAGAUGCGGAGGAAGACCGAUGGCGAAGGCAGCCCCCUGGGAUGACGCUGACGCUCAUGCGCGAAAGCGUGGGGAGCAAACAGG